GAUGAACGCUGGCGGCGUGCCUAAUACAUGCAAGUCGAGCGAACAGACGAGGAGCUUGCUCCUCUGACGUUAGCGGCGGACGGGUGAGUAACACGUGGAUAACCUACCUAUAAGACUGGGAUAACUUCGGGAAACCGGAGCUAAUACCGGAUAAUAUAUUGAACCGCAUGGUUCAAUAGUGAAAGACGGCUUUGCUGUCACUUAUAGAUGGAUCCGCGCCGCAUUAGCUAGUUGGUAAGGUAACGGCUUACCAAGGCAACGAUGCGUAGCCGACCUGAGAGGGUGAUCGGCCACACUGGAACUGAGACACGGUCCAGACUCCUACGGGAGGCAGCAGUAGGGAAUCUUCCGCAAUGGGCGAAAGCCUGACGGAGCAACGCUGCGUGAGUGAUGAAGGUCUUCGGAUCGUAAAACUCUGUUAUUAGGGAAGAACAAAUGUGUAAGUAACUAUGCACGUCUUGACGGUACCUAAUCAGAAAGCCACGGCUAACUACGUG
This 497-nucleotide ribosomal RNA is filed under the name uncultured bacterium. Its description in RNAcentral is "partial 16S ribosomal RNA". It matches the Rfam family "Bacterial small subunit ribosomal RNA", at positions 28 to 507 of the family's 1533-position model. The record is from RNAcentral.